Long non-coding RNA from Pseudopipra pipra, 1405 nucleotides. RefSeq lists it as uncharacterized. The transcript is spliced from 4 exons. The record is from RefSeq and is a predicted model, not a curated record. Lineage: Eukaryota; Metazoa; Chordata; Aves; Passeriformes; Pipridae.
GGCAGCGGGGCCGGGCGAGGCCGCUGAACCCCGAGCUCGGCCAGAGCCGCCCCCUCAGAGCCGCUGCCCGAGUGGGGCACCGACCCAAGUCCAAACGAGUUCUGCCUACCCGGGGAUCCCCCGUGCUGGGGAGACGGGAGAAAAGGCCGCCCGAGGGGAAGUCACUCCCGCGAGGGCAUGGCUGUUGCAAGGGAAUGAAUCCAGCGCAACUGGCAGCGCAACUGUGGCGGCUGGCGACAAACAGCGCCCAGCUUGGGCGAGGGCACCAAAACGCAGAGCCCAAGGCCGACGGUGAAAAACUGGCCAUGGGUUAAUUUAUUUAGGCCUUCGAAAAUUGGUUCCAAGCAGCGACAAGCACCCAGCCAAACAAGGUGACCAAAAUCCAGAGCCCAAGGCCAAAGUUCGCCAUUUCAGGCGACGGAAAAGAUUUUUUAAAAAUGUUGUCAUUCCAAAAAUAAGCUUGUUAAGGAGUACUGUGCUAUUACGAGCACAACUAGGAUGCCUGAAGCAAUAGCUAUACAGGACUCAUUUGGCUGCCUGCCUAAUGGUCAGCAAAUCCCCAGGCGUUGUAUCUACACUAGGGAAUAAAAGGAGAAGCUUCACUACUAACAGAAGAUAAGAGGCUUUGUAUAAAGGAAAAUUUGGAUAUGAAUACAGUGAUGAAUCUGGCAGAGUUUUUCGAACUCUAAAUACCAUUGCCUAAAACUUCACCUGUGCUCAAAGCCUUGUUUUUUCAACCUUCAAAUCAGAAUCCAACAACAUUUCUUCAGAAAGUAGGUGGCAAGAAAGACCCCAUGAUGGGAUGGGACUCCUUGCUGGCAAGCAGCUGACCAAAGCAAAACUCCUAUGCAGACCAUUUAAAAAAAUCUGCUGGUUUGCUCCCAGCCAAUGAGACAGUAUUACAAGGGAGCCAAAUGGACCUGUAAGAAGUCACUGCUGCAUAAUUAAGUGGGCUGUUUUUAUUUUGGAUUUAAUUUACAUCUCUUGCAAACCACUGUCUUUCCUCUGUUGUCUCUCAAACUGCAGAAUGAACAGUACCCAUCUCAUCAAAAUAAUUAUGAUAAAAUAACAGUAGAAUUUUAAAAAGAAUGUGACCACAAAUAACUUUGAGAAUUACUCUCAAGCCAUGUAAAACAAUGUUGUGCAAAGCACAAGUAACCAAAGACACCCUAGAAAUAACUGGAUAGUCAACAGGGGGAAGCUCUUAACUCACCUUUCCACAGCACUGUGCUGGUUCUCUCUCCAUGCCUGGGAGACCACUGCUGAUUAAAAUCCAGGCCCUGGCUCUGUCAUUGUUUGUCGUGGUAAGAAUACAGCCAGGGACCAUCUGUUGAACAGUUACUUGCAGGACAAUAUGUGGUAUAAUAUUCUAGUCAAGCCCAAAUAAACAACUGCAAUUUUUAAA